GCAGAGCCCGAGAAGAAAAGCCCCACACCAAGGCGGGGAUCUUCCGUUUGGCUGUGCACAUAGCGUUGUCUCUCUGUGACAAAUCAGGGAUAGGACGAGUGACGUCCCUGGCAAGUGUCUAGAUUGCUUCUCACCGAUAAAAUGGAGACAUUAAUAACCACCACAUAGGCUGUGUGUGAGGAUCAAGUGGAGAAUUGUUCAAGUAUUUUGCUCUAUGCCUGGCACAUAGCCAGCUCUCAAUCAAUGUCAUGCUGUUUUGAGUGGGGCGUGUGACACAACCUCCUGAGACUUCAGAGCUCUACAAUGUAACAAGUGCA
Microcebus murinus (gray mouse lemur) is the source of this 317-nucleotide non-coding RNA. Lineage: Eukaryota; Metazoa; Chordata; Mammalia; Primates; Cheirogaleidae. The record is from RefSeq and is a predicted model, not a curated record.